AAAUAAACUAUAUAUUUCAUUUCAGUAGCACAUCACAUAAAAUAUAAUACAUCAUCCACCGACUCCUCUACACAUCAAGGUUCAAGGCCUAACAAGUGUACAUCAAAAUAAUUUUACAAGUGCACAACAUAAUACUUAUGCAACUACAAGUGCACAGAAAGAGGAUCCAACAAGUGCACAAUCGCACAUCAAGAGAGCUCUACAAAGAUUGAAUGAGAAGCACAAGUUUCUUCUCAUCCUCUUCCUCUACACAAUCUGCCACUCCUACUAUUGUCACCUGCAAGAAGAAAAUGAUGGCAAGGCUCAGAAAGCAGACCAAGGAAACUAACAUGAUAGAGCAUCAAAUACUAAUGCAUAGAUAAGCCUGUCGACAACGAGCCACAUACUCCCUCCGUCCCAAAAUAAGUGUCUUAAACUUAAUACAAUUUUGUUCUAGAGCAAGUGCAAAGUUGAGACAGUUAUUUUGAGACGGAGGAAGUAUAAUAAUAAAAAGGGCAGCAGAUAAUAAGAGAUUAUAGGUCCGUGCACAUGUACCACAAAGAAUAUCCUUAUAUUACUUAUCUCAAAAAUUCCAUGUAGAUGUUAGACAUGCUUGAAAAGAAACCUAGCUUAAAGAGAAAAAUAAAUCUACAAUCUUAGGAUAAUCAGGACAAUCUUGGUAUAACAAGAAUCAGCCCACGAGCAACAGAUCAGGAUAUAUAUAGAUAUAAAAAUUAACGAUUGUAAUUUUAGCUCAUAACCAGUUCUAAAAGUUCUAGUUAAGCACUUGCUCCUAACAAUGGAGAAAUUGUGAAUAAUCUAUAGUAAGUUUUCCCAAUUAAUUUCUUCUGGACAGUGAACUCAAUCACCUCUUCUAAGUUUAGUUGAAAGUAGAUAAGUCAUUUUGGGGCAUUACAUUGUUUCUUUAGUUUAAUUAGCUAUGCUUCUUAUGAGCAAAAACAAUAGUUUAGUUUAGUUUUAUAUAUUCUUUUAGUUUUAUGCUCACUCAGGGAUCCAAUUGGAUACGAGCAUCUUGCCGGCAAAAAUGAUGUUAUGUUUUGAUGGAUUUUUUAUUAAAAUAGAGUUGUUUGCAAAGAUGGAGUGUAGGAACGCCAAACAGGUGGCACACCUUGCAUUUUUAUCUGAAGAAACAAGGCAGGUCGAAUAAGGAUCAAAUAACACAAUGAAACUUCCCAUCAGAUACUCCAUGCAAUACUAUGUAUAUACCUAUGCACACCCAGCAAUACAGAAUAUAUACAAUAUAUUUAUUCAUAACUAGUAAAACUGAAUAUAUACUUAUGCACACAGCACACCUAUUCAACAAAGUGGGUAUAGAACCACUAAGACAGUUAAUAGCAACUUUAACCACAACAGUUGCAUAUAUACUUAUUUUCUCAUGUUUAUUACUGUACUUUCUACUCGAGAAAGCACUCUCAUUGAUCAAGGGGCUGGAAUGCUUAAACAUAAAAAGAUCAUCUUAAAAAGGCAUGCCUACUAGAAUUCGACAAGAUAAAAUAUAUCCACCUGUAUCAACCUAUAAGCCAAGGCCUCGUAUUUACACGUCCAAAUUUGUAAUGUGGGCCAAAAUAAUUAACAUAUACUUGACAAAUAACAGAAAAUGGUUGACAGGUGAAAACCUUUUGUUUUCGCAUCUUUUUAUCUAUUGUUGCCUCUUAUAUUAUCCCAUGAGAUACUCCAUGCAAUCAUCUCGUGACACCUGCAAGGCAUAAGCGGUUAUAAGACAACUAAUAUCAUGUUAUCUUGUGGUCAUGACACUUGUAGCAGGAUAUGCCAAUGAACAGAACAUAUAAAUGGGGUAGGAAAUACUGGAAGCAUGAAAAUAACGAGGAAUGCUCAAACCAUGCCACCUUGUAAAACAUACAUCUCUAGUCAAUGCUUCUACAUUUAACCAAAUUAUUUAGGAGACCGUUAUACAAACAACUAAGGAAAAUUUCGGUGAAAUAUUACAAAACAGUGGAUAUACUACAUAAAUGAAUCGGGAUUUUGUUCUUACCAUGCAUGUUCAGUUUUACUUAAGCAAAGCAAGACUUGGUCCAUCUCAAGUAAGAUGUACUCUCGCACGACUAACUGGACUACUCAUGCAUGCCUAGAAUUUGUUUGUGUGUACACUAGCUGAAAACGGGUGACAGAGUUAAGCAAAUGGCAGGAACAUCAAUCUUGUCUAGUUGAAAACUACAUAUAGGAGAAAAUCUGGCUUAGUAUUGAGUCUAGCAUUGACAAAUUCCCUGACCAUCGCUAGCACCUUCAGAACAACAGAUUUUAGUUCGUACAUAGCAGCAGAUUUGGAAUAUUCAUGUAAACAUUUAGAAGUCGCAAACACCUUCAUCAAUCGACAUCUUUCAGAAAGAAAAGAUAUAGACUGAUCGAUGUUGAACACAAAGGCAACGACGACAGUGAGGAUGGCACAAACAAAGCUGCAAGAGGCGUGGUCACCUUGGCCACAUACAUGGGAUGCCUAGGGUCCUUGCGCACGACGACAGUGAGGAUGGCACAAACAAAGCUGCAAGAGGCCGUGGUCACCUUGGCCACAUUACAAUGGGAUGCCUAGGGUCCUUGCGCAACGACGACAGUGAGGAUGGCACAAACGAAGCUGCUAAGACGGCSUGGUCACCUUAGGUCCANUUCAUGGAUGNNNNNNNNNNNNNNNNNNNNNNNNNNNNNNNNNNNNNNNNNNNNNNNNNNNNNNNNNNNNNNNNNNNNNNNNNNNNNNNNNNNNNNNNNNNNNNNNNNNNAAGGUUUUCCGAAACGUGGGGAAAGGGUUACGGAAUUCCUAACUCCGAAUAGGAAUUGGACGUAGGAACGUCCUCCAACUCCAAUUCGGACCAACCUUAGGUUUGAGGCUGCCUCCUCCCUCCUCCCACCUAUAUAUACGGAGGUUUUAGGGCUGAUUUCGAGACGACUUCUCACGCUGCCGACCACAUACCUCCAUAGUUUUCCUCUAGAUUGUGUUUCUGCGGAGCUCGGGCGGAGCCCUGCUUGAGACAAGAUCAUCACCAACCUCCGGAGCGCCGUCACGCUGCCGGAGAACUCUUCUACCUCUCCGUCUCUCUUGCUGGAUCAAGAAGGCCGAGAUCAUCGUCGAGCUGUACGUGUGCUGAACGCGGAGGUGCCGUCCGUUCGGUACUAGAUCGUGGGACUGAUCGCGGGAUUGUUCGCGGGGCGGAUCGAGGGACGUGAGGACGUUCCACUACAUCAACCGCGAUCUCUAAUCGCUUCUGCUGUACGAUCUACAAGGGUACGUAGAUCGCUCAUCCCCUCUCGUAGAUGAACAUCACCAUGAUAGGUCUUCGUGCGCGUAGGAAAAAUUUUGUUUCCCAUGCGACGUUCCCCAACAGUGGCAUCAUGAGCUAGGUUCAUGCGUAGAUGUCUUCUCGAGUAGAACACAAAAGUUUUUGUGGGCGGUGAUGUGCGUUUUGCUGCCCUCCUUAGUCUUUUCUUGAUUCCGCGGCAUUGUUGGAUUGAAGCGGCUUGGACCGACAUUACUCGUACGCUUACGAGAGACUGGUUUCAUCGUUACGAGUAACCCCCUUUGCUCAAAGAUGACUGGCAAGUGAUGGUUUCUCCAACUUUAGUUGAAUCGGAUUUGACCGAGGAGGUCCUUGGAUGAGGUUAAAUAGCAACUCAUAUAUCUCCGUUGUGGUGUUUGCGUAAGUAAGAUGCGAUCCUACUAGAUACCCCCGGUCACCACGUAAAACUUGCAACAACAAAAUUAGAGGACGUCUAACUUGUUUUUGCAGGGUAUGCUUGUGAUGUGAUAUGGCCAACGAUGUGAUGUGAUAUAUUGGAUGUAUGAGAUGAUCAUGUUGUAAUAGAAAUAUCGACUUGCACGUCGAUGGUACGGCAACCGGCAGGAGCCAUAGGGUUGUCUUUAUAACUAACGUUUUGUGCUUGCAGAUGCGUUUACUAUUUUGCUAGGACGUAGCUUUAGUAGUAAUAGCAUGAGUAGCACGACAACCCCGAUGGCGACACGUUGAUGGAGAUCAUGAUGAUGGAAAUCAUGGUGUGACGCCGGUGACAAGAAGAUCGUGCCGGUGUUUUGGUGAUGGAGAUCAAGAAGCACGUGCUGAUGGCCAUAUCAUGUCACUUAUGAAUUGCAUGUGAUGUUAAUCCUUUUAUGCACCUUAUUUUGCUUAGAACGACGGUAGCAUUAUGAGGUGAUCUCUCACUAAAAUUUCAAGACGAAAUUGUGUUCUCCCCGACUGUGCACCGUUGCUACAGUUCUUCGUUUCGAGACACCACGUGAUGAUCGGGUGUGAUAGACUCAACGUUCACAUACAACGGGUGCAAAACAGUUGCGCACGCGGAACACUCGGGUUAAGCUUGACGAGCCUAGCAUGUGCAGACAUGGCCUUGGAACACAUGAGACCGAAAGGUCGAGCAUGAAUUGUAUAGUUGAUAUGAUUAGCAUAGAGAUGCUUACCACUGAAACUAUUCUCGACUCACGUGAUGAUCGGACUUGAGAUAGUGGAUUUGGAUCAUGUACCACUCAAAUGACUAGAGAGAUGUACUUUUUGAGUGGGAGUUCUUAAGUAAUAUGAUUAAUUGAACUAAUUGUCAUGAACAUAGUCUAAUGGUAUUUGCGAAUUACGAUGUAGCUUGCGUUAUAGCUCUACUGUUUUUAUAUGUUCCUAGAGAAAAUUUAGUUGAAAGUUGAUAGUAGCAAACUUUGCAGACUGAGUCUGUAAAACCGAGGAUUGUCCUCGUUGCUGCACAGAAGGCUUAUGUCCUUAAAUGCACCACUCGGUGUGCUGCACCUCGAGCGUCGUCUGUGGAUGCUGUGAACAUCCGACAUACACGUUUCUGAUUACUACACAAUAGUUCAGUGCAAGAUACUUAAUGGCUUAGAAGCAAGGCGCCGAAAACGUUGUAAAACGUCACGGAACAUAAGUGAUGUUCUAAAGAGAUGAAAUUGUGAUUUCAUGCUUGUGCCCUUGUUAAGAGGUACGAGACCUCCAACAAGAUUCUUUGUCCACAAAGUAAAAGAGAAAAGCUCAAUCGUUGAGCGUGUGCUCAGAUUGUCUGAGUACGAUAAUCACUUGAAUCAAGUGGGAGUUAAUCUUCCAGAUGAGAUGGUGAUGGUUCUCCAAAGACACUGCCACCAAGCUGUGAGAGCUUCGUGAUGAACUAUAACAUAUCGAGGAUAGAUACAAUGAUCCUUGAGCGAUUCGUGAUGUUUGACACUGCAAAAGUAGAAAUCAAGAAGGAGCAUCAAUAGUUGAUGGUUUGUAAAACCACUAAGUUUCAAGAAAGGCAAGGGCUAGAAGGGAUACUUCGUGAAACGGCAAAACAGUUGCUGCACUAAUGAAGAAACCCAAGAUUAAACCCAAACCCGAGACUAAGUGCUUCUGUAAUGAGGGGAACAGUCACUGAGGCGGAGCAACUCUAGAUACUUGGUAGAUAAAGAAGGCUGGCAGAAGUCGAAAGAAGUGUAUUUGAUAUACAUGAUGUUGAUGCGUACUUUACUAGUACUCCUAGUAGCAUGAGGGUAUUGGAUACCGGUUCAGUUGCUAAGUGAUUAGUAACACGAAAUGAAAGCUACGGCAUAAACGGAGACUAGCUAAAGGCGAGGUGACGAUACGUGUUGGAAGUGUUUCCAAGGUUGAUAUGAUCAAACGUCGCGCGCUCGCUCUACCAUCGGGAUUGGUGUUAAACCUAACUAAUUGUUAUUUGGUGCUUGCGUUAAGCAUGAACAUGAUUGGAUCGUGUUUAUUGCAAUACGAUUAUUCAUUUAAAGAGAAUAAUGGUUACUCUAUUUUCUUGAAUAUUCACCUUCAAUGGUUUAUUGAAUCUCGAUCGUAGUGUGACACAUGUUCAUAAUAUUAGUGCCAAAAGAUACGAGUUAAUGAUGAUAGUACCACUUACUUAUGGCACUGCCACUUGAGUCAUGUUAGUAUAAAUUGCAUGAAGAGGGUCCAUGCUGAUGGAUCUUUACUCAACUGAUUUCGAAUCAUUAGUGACAUGCAAAUCAUACCACAUGAGCAAGGCCUUGUUUUCAUUGAGAUGAAACAAGAUAGUAACUUGUUGGAAGUGAUACAUUUUGAUGUAUGCAGUCCAAUGAGUGCUGAGGCACGCAGUGGAUAUCAUUAUGUUCUUACUUCACUGACGACUUGAGUAGAUGCAGGAGUAUUUACUUAAUGAAUCACAAGUCUGAAAUAUUGAAAAGUUCAAUUCCGUUUCAGAGUGAAGUUCGUCGUAACAAGAGGAUGAACUGUCUACGAUAUGAUCAUAGAAAUGAAUAUCUGAGUUACGAGUUUUUGGUACACAGUUAAGACAAUGUGGAAAUUGUUUCGCAGUUCAUGCCACCUGGAACAUCAUAGUGUGAUGAUGUGUCUGAACGUCAUAGCCACGCACUAUUUGGUAUGGUGCAUACUAUGAUGUCUCUUAUCGAAUUACCACUAUCGUUUAUGGGUUAUGCAUUAGAGACAACCGCACUCACUUUAAAUAGGGCACCGCGUAUUUCCGUUGAGAUGACACAGUAUAGACUGAGGUUUAGAGAAAUCUAAACUGUCGUUUCUUGAAAGUUUGGGGUUUCGACACUUAUGUGAAAAAGUUUCAGUCUGAUAAGCUCGAACCCAAAGCGGAUAAAUGCAUCUUCAUAGGAUAUCCAAAACAGUUGGGUACAUCUCCUAUCUCAGAUCCGAAAGCAAAGUGUUUGUUUAUAGAAACGGAUCCUUUCUCGAGGAAAGGUUUCUCUCGAAAGAAUUGAGUGGGAGGGUAGUAGAACUUGAUAAGGUUAUUGAACCAUCACUUCAACCAGUGUGUAGCAGGGCGCAGGAAGUUGUUCCUGUGGCGCCUACACCAAUUGAAGUGGAAGCUGAUGAUGGUGAUCAUCAAGCAUCGGAUCAAGUUACUACAAGCCUCGUAGGUCGACAAGGUCGCGUACUGCUGUAGAGUAGUACGGUAACCCUGUCCUGGAGGUCAUGUUGUUGAGCAACAGUGAACCUACGAGUUAUGGAGAAAGCGAUGGUGGGCCCAGAUUCCGACAAAUGGCUGGAAGCCAUGAAAUCCGAGAGAGGAUCCAUGGAUGAAAACAAAGUGUAGACUUUGAAAGAACUACUUGAUGGUCAUAAGACUAUUGAGUAAAAAUGGAUCUUUAAAAGAAGACAGACGAUGAUGGUGAUAAGUCACUAUUAAGAAAAGCUCGACUUGUCGCAAAGAUGUUUUCGGUAAGAUCAAACAGUUGACUAUGAUGAGACUUUCUCACUCGUAGCGAUGCUAAAAGUCUGUUAGAAUUAUGUUAGUUGUUGAUGCAUUAUUUACGAAAUAUUGCAUGUAGGAUGUCAAAACAUUGUUUUCUCGACGGUUUCCUUGAGCAAACAUUGUAUGUGAUACAACCAGAAGGUUUUGUCGAUCCUAAAGAUACUAGCAAGUAUGCAAGCUCCAGUGAUCCUUCAAUGGACUGGUGCAAGCAUCUCGGAGUUGGAAUAUACACUUUGAUGAGAUGAUCAAAGAUUUUGGGUUUGUACAAGGUUUAUGAGAAACUUAUAUUUCCAAAGAAGUGAGUGGGAGCACUAUAGAAUUUCUGAUAGGUAUAUGUGGUUGACAUAUUGUGGAUCAGAAGUAAUGUAGAAUUUCUGUAAAGCAUACAAGGUUGUUUGAAAGAAGUUUUCAAAGGAGUACCUGGAUUACGCUACUUGAACGUUGAGCAUCAAAGAUCUAUGGAGAUAGAUCGAAAGCGCUUAAUAGAAGUUUCAACAAGAUGCAUGCCUUGACAAGUUUUUGAAAGAGUCCAAAAUAGACCAGCAAAGAAGGAGUUCUUGGUUGCGUUGUGAGGUGUGAAUUUGAGUAAGACUCAAAACCCGACCACGGCAGAAUAAAGAGAAUAGACGAAGGUCGUCUUCUAUGCCUUAGCCGUAGAAUCUAAAGUAUGCCAUGCUGUGUACCGCACCUGAAGUGUGCCUUGACUCAAAGUAUGUUGAGAGGUACACAGAGUGAUCCAUGAUUGAAUCACUAGCAGCGGUCGAAAUUUAUCCUUAGUAACUAAUGGACUAAGGAAUUUUUCUCGAUUAUGGAGGUGGUUAAAGAGUUCGUCGUAAAGGGUUACGUCGAUGCAAGCUUUGACACUAAUCCGAAUAACUAGGAGUAGUGAAACGGAUUCGUAUAGUAGAGUAGAUAUUUGGAGUAUUUCCGAAUAGCACGUAGUAGCAGCAUCUAUAAGAUGACAUAAAGAUUUGUAAAGAACGCACGGAUCUGAAAGUUUCAGAACAGUUGACUAAAACCUCUCUGACGAGCAAGACGUGAUCAGACCCCAUAACUAUAUGGGUGUUGGAUUCGUUGGAAUCACAUGGUGAUGUGAACUAGAUUAUUGACUCUAGUGCAAGUGGGAGACNNNNNNNNNNNNNNNNNNNNNNNNNNNNNNNNNNNNNNNNNNNNNNNNNNNNNNNNNNNNNNNNNNNNNNNNNNNNNNNNNNNNNNNNNNNNNNNNNNNNACAGAUUUAAAAGUAUUUAGUAAAAUCCUAUUAUGACAUCAUCGCGAUGUCAGGCUGACAUCAACGUUUGACUGGUCAACUGACCAGCGGGUCCCGAACGUCAUAGGCACAAGUUUUAUUUAAGAUUAAAAUAUUUAUUAAUCAGAUAAAUUCAACGAGGGACCCACGUGUCAUACUCUAAUUAUGUUAAUUAAUUAUUUUAACUAAUAUAUCUAUUUAUUUAUUUAUUUUAAGAAAACAUUAUUUUUAAUUAUCGCGUGGGGCCUCCCUGUCAUUGACAGCGGUGCAUUGGCCCCACCGGUAAGUGGCCUAAAGCUAAUUUCUCAUUUAUUUUUAUUAGAUACCUAUCCGUGCAAAUACCGUAUUUCUCUAAAUAUCCAAAUACACAAAUACAUACAUAAUACGGGCAUCGAAUACAUACAUACAUACAUACAUACAUACAGCAUCUAAUACAUCAAUUGUUUUUAUUUCUUUUUCUCUCAAAACACUCAUCUCUCAUCUCUCUGUUAACAGAGACACAACUUUCUCUAACACCACCUAGAAGAACCAAAUACUCAAAUCCUUCUACCGGAGUCCACCGUCGACGGAUCGAGGCCCCGUUUGCCGGAACGGAACCGGGACGUCGAGGAGAACGACACGGUGGGAGGAGCCCGAGGAGGGGCUCACCGACGGUGACGUGACGGCCCGGUGAAGCCGGAGUUCGCACGAAGAUGUCGGUGGAGACGGACGUGGAGGCGGUGACGGUGACGGUGGUGGUGACGUGCCGGCGAGGAGGAGCCGGUGAGGAGGGCCCCGGUGAGGAGAGGCCCCCGGAGGUGGAGCCGCCGACGGGGAGGGGCGGCCACCGUAGAGAGGGCCGCCGGAGAGGGACCUCCCGGAAGGGGCCGGCCGCCGAGAUGGGGGGGCCGAGGCAACCGGGGCCCCCUGCCGGCGGGGUGGGUGGCUCGCCGGCGAGGAGGGAGGGGCUCGGCCGGCGGGGAGGAGGGGCUCGGCCGGCGGGGCGAGGGGAGGGGCCACCGGGGGAGGAAGGGGGGCCGUGGGUGGGGAGGAGGCCGUGGGGUGGGGAGGAGGCGGUGGAGGGAGGAGGCCGGCGGGGUAGAGGGCUGCCGGCGGGGAGGGGUGGCCGCCGGCCGGUGGGAUGGAGGGGCGGCCGAGGGGAGGGGCCGAGGAUUGGGGGAGGUGUCGGUCGUGGGAGGAGAUGGGGGUCGUAUUGGGGGUUGUUGGUAGGGUANNNNNNNNNNNNNNNNNNNNNNNNNNNNNNNNNNNNNNNNNNNNNNNNNNNNNNNNNNNNNNNNNNNNNNNNNNNNNNNNNNNNNNNNNNNNNNNNNNNNAGUUGGUAUCAGAGCCAACUGCCUGUAGGUAGCCCCCUUUCCAACUCCUUGGCCGAAGUUGAGUCUAGUGUUUGAAAAACUUUACUAACACUGAUGUUGUGGCUUACGGGCCCACAUCUCAAUUGGGUGGUAUUAGUAUCUCUUACUCCUUUUCCUAUACUCUGGGCUCUACUUCCUCUUCUCUUUCGGGUCAAAGAUUUUACUAACUCUAACAUUAGGUUCUCGAAUCACAUCAAUCCGGAGCGCUGGACUAUCUACUCUUUCUCUCGUGAAUAUGUAUUACACACACUGUCAUUGACAUCCGUCAAUCUUAUUUUCAGAUGCGUCCCGCAAGGCAGCACGUGCGCCUGACACAGGCCACCGAGACGACUGGGUUCCCGGCCAUUUUGGUCGAUCUCCUGACCAGACUGGGAUAUCGCUGGUACCCCGAGUACACCGUGUUCGAGGAUUUCCGCGAGUACAACCAGUGCCAGUACCAGGCUGAGGUUCGCAUCUUCGAUCAGAGAGGCGGCGAGACCCUCGAGCGCCACGUGUUCUGUGGUAUUGGAGUGUCGGUCGAGAUGGCCGUCCAUGAUGCGGCCUACAUCGCCAUCACCCGUCUCCGUGGAGCGUACCCUCACCUGGAGGAGAGCCCUUUCAGAUACAUCCCGCAUGCUCCUGCUGGGGAUGAGACUGGGUCUGAUCUCACUGCCUACACUUCUGACGUUCGGGAGCGCAGCGACCGUUCCUACGUCGCUGUCUGCGCCCCCUACGUAACGCGUCGGUACGACGCGCGGAUUCUGGUGCAGUACACUGAGGCAAUGGAUCGUGCUUUCCGAGCUCUGACUGUGGAGUUGUAUGCUACACGCGCUCGUCUUUACGACGCGUUGACAGAGCUGCAGCCAUCACACUGUCCGAGGGUUCCCCCUUUGCGCAUCCGCGAGCCGAGCAGGACAGAGCUACCAUCAGCUCUCGAGUGGACAGAUGUUGGGGGUAGAACCCCUGCACUUGGACCUCAGCUCCUCGACUGGAUGCGGUACCGUCACCAGAGUCACAACGGGACACAGGGUCCUGUCCCUACCUUCUAUCACCGCCAGCUACCAGGAUUCGUUCGUCCUCUCCGACGUUGAUGUAGCCUUAUCGCUACAUCUCGUCGUGGUACUCUUCCACCGCGUGCCUGCGCGCCGCCUAGUGAGUCCAGGGUAUCGUCAAAUGCGUCCGGGCUAUCGCCAAAUUUCGAGUUUUUAAUCGUUAGUCUGGAAUCGAACUUAUGUAUGGGUCUGUAUGUCGAACUCAACUACUAUGGAGUAUCUAUCGCAUUUCCCUUUCAUUAUGCUUGAUUACUUCAUGAAUGCGUGCGAUGCCUUUCGAUUACUUUAAGCUAAACUACCCCUGCUAAAUAUUUAACAGGAUGGUUAGACCAGCUGGCCGCCCGCGUGGCCGUGCCAACGAUGCACCACCCCCGCCUCCUGAGUAUAUGGCGGGGAUGAUCCAACAGUUUGAGCUGAACCGCCAGUUUAUGCAAGGGCUCAUGGAUCAGUUCCAAAGGCCGAACAUGAACCAACCACAAGGCGUGACACUGCAAGACUUCUGCCGUCUCAACCCUGCGAUCUACCGCAGCUCAACUCAGCCUCUAGAUGCUGAUGACUGGCUCCGUGACAUUUCUUAUGAGCUAGAGUCUGCCAAUGUGCCCCUGGCGAGCUAUGUCAACUUUGCCGCAUACUUUCUGAAGGGUCCCGCUGCUCAAUGGUGGGACAGCCACAGGCGCUCUCAGCCCGAUGGAACUAUCAUCACUUGGGAAGAGUUCAAGGCUGCUUUCCGUGCUCGAUACAUUCCCCAGGGAAUCAUGGACCGGAAGAAGCGUGAGUUCCGCAACUUAGUCCAGGGCAACAAGACCGUGGAUGCUUAUCAGCGGGAAUUUCUGGAAUUAUCUCGCUAUGCUGAAGAAGACAUUGCGACUGAUACACGCAGGCAGGAGAAGUUCCGUGAAGGCCUCCACCCUGAUAUCAAGCUGACACUCCUCGUUCAGGACUAUGCUGAUUUCGCCACCCUCGUGAACAAGGCUAUUCAGGUUGAGACUGGUCUGCAGGAAUACAAAGAUAGCAGCAAGCGCAACCGUGACAUGGGCUCAUCUGCACAGAAGCGGAAGAUCUGGAUUCCCAACAUGUACCAUGCACCUGCUCCUACUCCGAGGCCGUCCUAUGCUGCACCUCGCCUGCCUCCUCCACCACCUAGGCAGCCGAGGCUUCCAGCUCCACCGCCUCGAGUUCCUCCUUCCCGUCCCGAGGACGGGCUGUGCUUCAAGUGUGGCCGUCCAGGUCACCGUGCUAGAGACUGCAGGCAGAAUCAGAAUCAGCUGGCACUUCCCGCAACUGGCCGUGGCAACAACCAGAACCGCAACUUCAACGCUAAGCCUGCUUAUGUUCGUGGUCAGGCCAACAACAUUGAUAUGGGUCAAGCUCAAGACCAGCCUGCUACCGUGAUGGGUACACUUCUCGUUAACUCAGUACCUGCUUCUGUAUUGUUUGAUACAGGAGCAUCGCAUUCCUUUAUGUCGGAAAAUUUUGCAUACAUGCAUGACAUUAGGAGCGAAGAGAUGAACAUCCCGAUAGUGGUAAACACCCCUGGGGGCGAAUGCCGAACCUCUGUGGUUUGCCCCCAUGUUCCAGUUGAAAUUGAAGGAUUAGAAUUCCUUGCCAACCCCAUCCUACUAAAGUCAUCCAACAUUGAUCUCAUAUUGGGGAUGGACUGGUUGAAAGCUCAUACGGCAUCGAUCGUUUGUGCCACCAAAACCGUCCACCUCCUACACCCUUCAGAUGAACUAGUAAGCUACCAUGCUCAUCUCGUCCGUAAUGCUGAGGCACGGCUGUAUGCCGUGAAUGCAUUAAAUGCGUCGCCUCUUGAAGGGAUUGAAAACAUUCCAGUGGUCCGAGAAUUCCAAGAUGUCUUUCCAGAAGAACUUCCGGGGAUUCCCCCUGCUCGAGCUGUCGAGUUUGUCAUUGACUUGGUACCCGGUACCACUCCUAUUGCCAAGCGUCCUUAUAAAAUGCCACCACAUGAACUCCUUGAACUUAAGCAAGAAAUUGACAACUCGCUCCGUCUGGGUUUCAUCCGUCCGAGUUCCUCUGCUUGGGGAGCACCUUCUCUCUUUGUUAAGAAGAAGGAUGGGACAAAUCGAUUGGUUCAAGACUAUCGUCCUAUCAACCAGGCCACUAUUCAAAACAAAUAUCCUCUCCCUCGGAUAAAUGAUUUGUAUGAUCAACUUGCUGGUUCCACCGUUUUCUCUAAGCUCGACUUGAGAUUGGGAUACCACCAGAUCCGUGUUCGCAAGGAGGAUAUUCCAAAGACCGCCUUUGUUACUCGAUAUGGGUCCUACGAGUACACCGUCAUGUCCUUCGGAUUAACCAAUGCACCGGCAACUUUCUCUAGAUUGAUGAAUUAUAUAUUCAUGGACUACCUCGACAAAUUUGUCGUGGUAUAUCUGGAUGAUAUUCUGGUGUUUUCAAAGAACAAAGAAGAGCAUGCUGAACAUCUUCGUCUUGUACUGGAUAAGCUUCGGGAGCAUAAACUCUAUGCGAAGUAUUCCAAAUGUGAGUUCUGGCUAGACGAAGUGACUUACCUUGGUCAUGUGAUUUCCAAGGAUGGUAUUGCGGUCAAUCCCGAACGAAUUCAAGCUAUUCUUGACUGGACUCCCCCGAAGAAUGUCAAGCAAGUCAGAAGUUUUCUCGGACUCGCCAGCUAUUGCCGUCGAUUCGUCGAGAACUUCUCCAAGAUUGCGAAGCCCUUAACCAACCUGCUUCACAAAGGUGUUAAGUAUGAAUGGACUGAUAAAUGUCAGGAAAGUUUUCAGGCACUCAAGGACAAACUGACGUCCGCUCCAGUACUUGCUCCUCCAGAUACAAAAAGGGAUUUCGUCAUAUACUAUGAUGCUUCUCGUCAAGGAAUAGGUUGUGUCCUAAUGCAGGAUCGCAAGGUGAUCGCUUAUGCUUCACGUCAACUGCGUGCUCAUGAAGAGAACUACCCAGUUCAUGAUCUCGAACUUGCCGCAGUCAUUCAUGCAUUGAAGGAAUGGCGACAAUACCUUGUCGGUAAUCGCUGUGAAAUCUACACCGACCAUCAAAGUCUGAAGUACUUGUUCACUCAACCGGAGCUGAACCUGCGUCAACAAAGAUGGAUGGAGCGUAUAGCAGAUUUUUACUGUAGUAUAUCAUAUACCCCUGGCAAGGCUAAUGUAAUGGCUGAUGCCUUAAGUCGCAAGUCAUACUGCAACCACCUCCAGGUUCAUCAGGUUCACGAUCGUCUGCAAGAGGAAUUCCGUAAGCUGAACCUCCACAUUGUUCCUCAGGGUUACCUUGUUCCUCCCCCUGAAGAGUAUCAAAAGAUGAACCUUCGUGUUGUUAAUCAGGGUUCCCUCAGUAACCUAGUGGUUGAACCAGAUCUUGUAAGCUCCAUAAAGAAUAUACAGAACUUUGACGAUGAUGUCGACAGGAUUAAGAGCUAUAUUGCAAAGGGUAAACCCUCCUUUUUCACUGUUGAUGAAGGUGGCGCCUUGUAUUUCAAGGGUCGCCUAUUCGUCCCAAAUAAGAAGGAAAAUCUCAGGAUGACUGGGAAGGUGAUGGAAGAAGCUCAUGACACACCAUUGUCUAUUCACCCGGGUAGUACCAAGAUGUACCAAGACAUCCGGCAAAGAUUCUGGUGGCCCAAUAUGAAACAAGACAUUGCACGCUAUGUGGCAGAAUGUGAUAUAUGCCGGCGUAUCAAAGCAGAACACCAAAAGCCUGCUGGAACUCUGCAACCUAUCUCUAUUCCCGAGUGGAAAUGGGAUCACGUUGAAAUGGACUUCGUCACUGGUUUUCCCAGGUCUCAGAAAGGUAAUGAUGCUAUUCUUGUCGUCAUUGAUCGACUGUCCAAAGUUGCACAUUUCCUGGCCGUCAAAGAAACGAUUAAUGCUAGUCAGCUGGCAGAUCUUUAUAUGUCAAGAGUUGUUUCACUUCACGGUAUUUCGUUGGUAAUCAGUUCGGACCGUGGUAGCUUGUUUACUUCAAAAUUCUGGGAAAGUUUUCAGAAGGCUAUGGGGACUCAUCUGUCCUUCAGCACUGCAUUUCAUCCUCAAUCCCAGGGACAAGUUGAACGAGUCAACCAAAUUCUCGAAGACAUGCUUCGAGCUUGUGUCAUUUCUUUCGGUAAGAAAUGGGAGGAAUCUCUCCCGUAUGCCGAGUUCUCGUACAACAAUAGCUAUCAAGCUAGUCUGAAGAUGGCCCCUUUCGAAGUAUUGUAUGGGCGAAGGUGUCGAACUCCUCUGAAUUGGUCAGAAACUGGAGAACGAUCACUCUUCGGUCCGGAUAUUAUUCAACAUGCCGAAGAUCAAGUCCGCAUUAUUCAUGAGAAUCUGAAGGCUGCUCAGUCUCGUCAGAAGAGUCAGUAUGACCGUCAUCAUCAAGAUAUAGUCUAUCAACCUGGCGAAAAGGCUUAUCUUCGAGUCACACCAAUGAGGGGUGCACACCGUUUCGGAAUCAAGGGCAAGUUAGCUCCUCGUUAUAUUGGUCCUUUCACUGUUCUCGAAAGGCGUGGAAGAGUGGCUUAUCAAUUGGAACUGCCGGCGAACCUUUCUCAGGUUCACGAUGUCUUCCAUGUUUCUCAACUCCGUCGCUGCUUCAAGGAUCCUAUUCGAGCAGUGGAUCACGAUAUGCUUGAGCUACAACAAGACCUCUCUUAUAAAGAGCAUCCGGUCCGCAUUCUCGACCAAGCUGAACGUAAGACUCGUCGCAAGGUCACUAAGUUCCUUAAGGUGCAGUGGUCAAAUCACUCUGAAGAUGAAGCCACUUGGGAACGCGAGGAUCAUCUUCGUGAUGAAUACCCCGGGCUCUUUCCCUCUACCUCUUAAUUCUCGGGACGAGAAUUCUUGUUAGUAGGGGAGAAUUGUGACAUCCUCGACUUUUGCUACAGUAGUAAUUGUAAUUAAGCUACAGUGAUCACCGCUAAUGAUGCCACGUCAUCGAAUUCCCAUCUCAGACCCGCGUGGAUUCGCGUCUGUCCGGAUCGAUGAUUUGAAAGCAAUGGGAAGCACCUUAUCGGUUCAUUACAAGUAUUAAAAGGAUAUACAUAUAAGAGGAAAGUAUUGAAGAAAUAGUAAUGAUAAAAGAAAGAAAAGAAAACUGAAAGAAAGGAUUAAUAAAAAGAAAAGGAAAAAGGUAAAAAAAAUAAAAACAAAUCAAAAAAAAAAAAAAAGAAAGACMWCGHCCCCASCCGGCCCAACCUVGGCCGAACGUAGGCCCAGMCGCCGSCCCCCGGCCCCGACCCCGUAAANNNNNNNNNNNNNNNNNNNNNNNNNNNNNNNNNNNNNNNNNNNNNNNNNNNNNNNNNNNNNNNNNNNNNNNNNNNNNNNNNNNNNNNNNNNNNNNNNNNNGCAUGCAAGCUUGUGGCUUUGCAUAUCAUUAGCAUCAUGGUAUUCAAAGAAUUCAUACUAACAACACUGAAAUCAUGCUCAUCAUUCACAUAUUUUAUGCCAAGCAUUCUAUGUAAUUCUUCUUCUAGCACUUGAGCACAAUUUUCUUUUCCAUCAUUUUCAUGAAAGACAUUAAAAAGAUGAAGCAUAUGAGGUAACCUUAAUUUCAUUUUUUUGUAGUUUUCUAUUAAUAAACUAAACUAGUGAUAAAACAAGAAACUAAAAGGUCCAAUUGCAAGAUCUAAAGAUAUACCUUCAAGCGCUAACCUCCCCGGCAACGGCGCCAGAAAAGAGCUUGAUGUCUACCACGCAACCUUCUCCUUGUAGACGUUGUUGGGCCUCCAUGUGCAGAGGUUUGUAGAACAGUAGCAAUUUUCCCUCAAGUGGGUGACCUAAGGUUUAUCAAUCCGUGGGAGGCGUAGGAUGAAGAUGGUCUCUCUCAAGCAACCCUGCAACCAAAUAACAAAGAGUCUCUUGUGUCCCCAACACACCCAAUACAAUGGUAAAUUGUAUAGGUGCACUAGUUCGGCGAAGAGAUGGUGAUACAAGUGCAAUAUGGAUAGUAGAUAUAGGUUUUUGUAAUCUGAAAUUAUAAAAAUAGCAAGGUAAUUAAUAAUAAAAGUGAGCACGAACGGUAUUGCAAUGCGUGGAAACAAGGCCUAGGGUUCAUACUUUCACUAGUGAAGUUCUCUCAACAAUGAUAACAUAAUUGGAUCAUAUAACUAGCCCUCAACAUGCAACAAAGAGUCACUCCAAAUUCACUAAUAGCGGAGAACAAACGAAGAGAUUAUUGUCGGGUACGAAACCACCACAAAGUUAUUCAUUCUGAUCGAUCUAUUCAAGAGUCCGUAGUAAAAUAACACGAGGCUAUUCUUUCCGUUCAAUCUAUCCUAGAGUCCGUACUAGAAUAACACCUUAAGACACACAUCAACCAAGACCCUAAUGUCACCUAGAUACUCCAUUGUCACCUCAAGUAUCCGUGGGCAUGAUUAUAUGAUAUGCAUCACACAAUCUUAGAAUCAUCUAUUCAACCAACACAUAGAACUUCAAAGAGUGGCCCAGAGUUUCUACCGGAGAGUCAAAACGUGUGCCAACCCAUAUGCAUAGGUUCCCGAUGUCACGAAACCCGCAAGUUGAUCACCAAAACAUACAUCAAGUACUCACAUGAAUAUCCCAUUGUCACCAUAGAUAGACACGUGCAAGACAUACAUCAAGUGUUCUUAAAGACUCAAUCCGAUAAGAUAACUUCAAAGGGGAAACUCAAUUCAUCACAAGAAGGGAGAGGGGGAAGAACAUCAUAAGAUCCAACUAUAGUAGCAAAGCCCGCGGUACAUCGAGAUCAUGGCAUCUCAAUAACACGAGCGAGAGAGAUCAAACACAUAGCUACUGGUACAUACCCUCAGCCCCGAGGGAGAACUACUCCCUCCUCGUCAUGGAGAUCGCCGGCAUGAUGAGAGAUGGCCACCAGAGAUGGAUUCCCCCUCCGGCAGGGUGCCGGAACGGGCUCCCGAUUGGUUUUUGGUGGCUAGAGAGGCUUGCGGCGGCGAAACUCCCAAUGUAGAUUUAUUUCUGGAGGUUUCUGUAUUUAUAAGACCAGAUGGCAUCGAGAACAAGUCAGUGGGACCCACGAGGGAGUCACGAGCCCCCCAGGCGCGCCCAGGGGGUUGGCGCGCCUCCCUGGCUCCUGGCUUCCUCGGGACUCCUCUCCGGUAUCUUUUUCUUCUGGUAUUUUUGAUAUUUUCCAUAAAAAAUCACGACAAAAGUUUUAUUCCGUUUGGACUCCGUUUGAUAAUCCUAUCUGAAAAAGGUCAAAAACAAGGAAAAAAACAGGAACUGGCACUGGGCUCUAGGUCAAUAAUUUAGUCCCAAAAAUAAUAUAAAAUAGCAUAUUCAUGCAUAUAAAACAUCCAAAGUCGAUAAUAUAAUAGCAUGGAAUGAGCAAAAAUUAUAGAUACGUUGGAGACGUAUCAAUGAUAUAAAAACUACUAGCUAAUCCUUAUGCAGGAGAUGGAACAAUACAUCCUGAUUUGCAUCUAAUAUAUGUGGAUGAAGUUUGUGGAUUAUUUAAGCUUGCGGGUCUGCCUGAGGAUGAUGUCAAAAAGAAGGCCUUUCCUUUAUCUUUGAAGGAAAAGGCGUUGACAUGGUAUAGGCUAUGUGAUGAUAUUGGAUCAUGGAACUACAACCGAUUGAAAUUCGAAUUUCAUCAGAAGUUUUAUCCUAUGCAUCUGGUUCAUCGUGAUCAGAAUUAUAUUUAUAAUUUUUGGCCUCGUGAAGGAGCAAGAAUCACUCAAGCUCGGGGGAGGCUUAAGUCAAUGUUAUAUUCAUGCCCCAAUCAUGAGCUCCCGAGAGAAAUUAUUAUUCAGAAUUUUUAUGCUCGGCUCUCUCAUAAUGAUCAAUCCAUGGUUGACACUUCUUGUGCUGGUUCUUUCAUGAAGAAAGAUAUUGAAUUCAAAUGGGACUUAUUGUAAAGAAUUAAACACAACUCUGAAGAUUGGGAACUCGACGAAGGUAAUGAGUUAGGUAUAAGCCUUAAGUUUGAUUGUGUUAAUUCCUUUGUAGACACUAAUGCUUUUCAUGAUUUUAGCACUAAAUAUGGACUUCACUCUGACGUAGUAGCUUCAUUUUGUGAAUAUUUUGCUACUCAUGUUGAUCUGCCCAGGAGAAGUGGUUUAAAUAUCAUCCUCCCAUUGAAUUUAAAGUGGUAGAACCUAUUAAAGUUGAAGAAGAAACUAUUAUUUAUAAUGUUGAUCCUGUUAUUCCUACUGCUUAUCUUGAGAAACCACUGUUUCCUGUUAGGAUAAAGGAGCAUGCUAAAGCUUCAACUGUGGUUCGUAAGAGUUGCACUAGAACACCUAUAACUUAUGAGAAAAUUAAAGUAGAACCUAAUAUUGCUAUGGUCAAACAUCUAUUGGUUGAUAAUAUUGAUGGGCAUGUCAUUCACUUCUAUGAUGAAGCCUCUAGAAUUGCUAGACCUGAUACUAAGGCUAAACAUAGACCCGUUGUUGGCGUGCCUGUUGUUUCUGUUAAUAUAGGAGAUCAUUGUUAUCAUGGCUUAUCUAAUGUGGGUGCUAGUGUGAGUGCAAUUCCAUUUACCUUAUACCAAGAAAUUAUGAAUGAUCACUACAAGAAAUAUGGUUGUUUAUGACAAAAAAUCAUGACGGCGGUUUAAUUGGUCAUAGAUCAAUGACCAAAAUUUAGAAUUUGGUCAGGGCGAGCGUUGGAGGGUCCAAACCCUAUAGUAUUAUGACAAUUUGUGUCCAUAAGGUCAUGAUUCCAUUGCCCAAAAUGGUCAUUAACAUGUCUAGCACUACUCAUGAUGUUAAUUCAUACCAGCAAUGAAAAAAUGAUAAGAUUAUAAUCAUAGAUUUUAUGUGACUGGAUGAUACCUCCAUUUUUUUCCUACGUGUCAAUUUUCUAUGUGUCAACCACACUUAAGGGUGGGAUCAAUCUGUCAUUCAAACCUAAUAAUCUAGCAAAUCGAUGGACCAAUUAUAAGAUUCGGGUCUCGAAAGCUUUUGUUGUGGGCCCAUGUGUUAUAUGGACCUGCUUACCGAGCUAACCGGUGCAACCACCACCAUGUGAAGUGUGUUGACAUGUCGGACCCACCUGGGAGACCCAUGGCCCAAUAAGAAAAUAAGGAUGAUGAAUGACCUCAAAACAUGGAAGGGGGACGGUCUAAACGAUAAUUUCAAGCUAAGGAGUGAAAAUCGGUUUUUAGUAUGUAUGUAUGCAAGGCAUAUUAGAAAAAAUCCAAAUGAAAUAGGAAAAAGCCAAAAUUACUCGCUUCGACGUGCCCAUGAUAAUUUCAUAAUUUUUAGAACUUGUUUAGAUUUUAGAAAAAUAAAAGUCACUAAGACAUAUCGAGAUGUUUGAAUGAUCCCAAGAAAUGAUUCAAAUUAGUUAUACAUAAUCUAGAUAUGAGAUAAAAGUUAUAAAAUUGCUAAACUAUGAAUUUUAUUUUUAUUUCGACAUAAGAUUUGUGAUAAAUGUACUACAAGAUUUAAUUAUAUCCAAUAAAAAUCAUUUAACACUUAAAUAAUAGCAGAUGAUGUUAAUGACAUAUAUAUUGUAGUAUGUUCUAUGAUUUUUUUAGAAAAAAAUCGAUGAAAUAUUUUUUCAAAGGUACUAAAGAAUGUACAUUAACUUGGUCUUUGGGAAAAUAAAGAACACAUUAUAUUACAUAACAAGAUUUAAUAUGAAGGAGUAUUCGUUAAUUCUAAUGUUUAUACGGGAUAAGAUGAAAACAUAACAUGCACAUUAUUACUAUACACAACAACCUGGGUCCCAUUAUCAUCCAGGGUUAAAAAAUCGGUUUCUCUUAAACAAAACGAGAAAAUGGAGCGCGUGGCAGCCAAAAUUUUAGAGAAGGAUGGCGGCAUCGCGAAAUUUUCCCCACCUGGAUAACCCUAAAUCCUCCACAGCGCCGCCACUCUCCGUUUUGUAUCUCAGAUCCAAUCGAGUCCCACCACCGCUAUCCUCUUCCAUCGUUGUAUCACCGCUCCUAGCCCUCGCUGCCACCAGGUUAUCCCCCUCCUUCCUCCGUGCAUCUGAGACGAGCGGACGGUGGCGAAGUGAAUCAAGACUGGGCAACAGGAGGACAAUGGCGAAGUGAUGGACUCCCCCCCCCCCCCCCCCCCCGCGCCGGUGACUGGACCUUGCGCGCGCGGUCGGUGGUGUGAUGGCGGCCGGCAUAUCUCCGCCGCCUCUCUCCCCCCGCCGACGACGACGCGUAUUCCAGCACCCCUCUAGCCCCUAUAGGCCUGCCGGAACCUUGCCCAGGCGAUGGGUCACCUGGUGGACGUCCUCGAUCCUUGGCAGCGCAAGCAGUACUGGUCGUCUGUAGGUGCCGGACGGCCCAAAUAUCGCCACCACUAGAUCCAUCUGCCCCUGUCGUUGCUGCCGCAUUGCCAUAUCUCGUAAUUCGCAGUUGCCGUCGCCAUCUUAUUUUCUCCGGAUGCUCUGCCGUCCUGUGAAUCCCUCCCUUUAUUUGUGCAAUAAAUACUCUGAUUUUUGCUGCUCUGUCUGCCUCAUCUUGCAGCACGACACCUUUGGACAUGGGGGUGGCAAGAUGGAGUCCCGACUACUGCUGUCGUCGCCUUGAGCUUGCUUGCCCUUGAUGGAAGAACCACAAGCGGGACUGCCACGGGUUGCUCGCUCUCACCAAACCAGACCAACAUCUUCAAGUUAUCAUUGUAAGCACCCCCUUCCUCCUCCUGUUGCUACUAAAAUCAAUCUGUACACAUGGGUUUCAUUGUCUAGGUGAGUGCUCGGGUUGCUGUGUUGGUAUCGGGGCAAGGUGGGAAACUUUAGUAUGUGAUAGUUGGAUCAGUAGGUGUCCGUAGAAGUGUCUGUCGGCAGAAAAUGGUUUCAGCAGUAGAGUGACUGAUUGCUUAGCAGUUGGGUCGACCUAUAUUUUGUGGCACAACACUGACUUUGUGUAGCUGUUGAUUCUAAAAGCCAAAUAUAUCAUGCCUUCUGGACCUUACAUAUAUAUUUCUAGCAUACUGAUGAAUUCAGUGUCAUAUCAAAUAUGACAUCAACCCCUUUUGGUAGUUCCAUGUUACUAAAUGAUAUCCUGUCAUGUAGACUUGCAGAUUAACAUUGUCGAGUAGCAAUUUGUGUUGAAAGGCUAGAACUAGACGCUGGGAGAUAUGUGCGUUCGUUUGUGCCAUCCUCACUGUCGUCGUGCGCAAGGACCCUAGGCAUCCCAUGUAUGUGGCCAAGGUGACCACGCCUCUUGCAGCUUUGUUUGUGCCAUCCUCACUGUCGUCGUGCGCAAGGCCCUAGGCAUCCCAUGUAUGUGGCCKAAGGUUGACCACGCCUCUUGCAGCUUUGUUUGUGCCAUCCUCACUGUCGUCGUGCGUCAAGGACCCUAGGCAUCCCAUGUAUGUG
This 22076-nucleotide long non-coding RNA is filed under the name Hordeum vulgare. RNAcentral describes it as "long non-coding RNA (HVUL_LNC000274)". Lineage: Eukaryota; Viridiplantae; Streptophyta; Magnoliopsida; Poales; Poaceae. The record is from RNAcentral.